This 462-nucleotide ribosomal RNA is filed under the name uncultured soil bacterium. RNAcentral's name for it is "bacterial SSU rRNA". It matches the Rfam family "Bacterial small subunit ribosomal RNA", at positions 26 to 490 of the family's 1533-position model. The record is from RNAcentral.
AGAAUCAACGCUGGCGGCGUGCCUCAGACAUGCAAGUCGAACGAUUAAAGCUCUCUUCGGAGAGUGUAUAGAGUGGCGCACGGGUGAGUAACACGUAAGUAAUCUACCCUCGAGUGGGGAAUAACGUCCGGAAACGGACGCUAAUACCGCAUAAUGCAGCGGCACCGCAAGGUGACAGUUGUUAAAGAUUUAUCGCUUGAGGAGGAGCUUGCGGCAGAUUAGCUAGUUGGUAAGGUAAUGGCUUACCAAGGCUACGAUCUGUAACCGGUCUAAGAGGACGGUCGGUCACACUGACACUGAAUAACGGGUCAGACUCCUACGGGAGGCAGCAGUCGGGAAUUUUGGGCAAGUGGGACGAAAGCCUGACCAGCAACGCCGCGUAGAAGGAUGAAGUAUUUCGGUAUGUAAACUUCGAAAGUAAGUGGAAAGAAUACGAAAUCGAACGGUUAACCUAAGUUUUAA